RNAcentral lists this long non-coding RNA (1983 nucleotides) under Nicotiana tabacum (common tobacco). Its description in RNAcentral is "long non-coding RNA (NTAB_LNC003347)". Lineage: Eukaryota; Viridiplantae; Streptophyta; Magnoliopsida; Solanales; Solanaceae. The record is from RNAcentral.
ACCUCCUCUCAUACAGCAGCAUUCAUACAUUAAUCACAUAGCAAGAAAUAAACUUGAAUUAUUACAUUAAUCAAUAAAUUCCUAUUCAAACAAAUUCAAACUUGAUUUGCAUCCACUUAAUCAUUUUGGUAUCACACUACUUAAGUCUUAACAAUUUAACACCAUCACAGCUAAAGUAAGGUAAGCAAAUUAUGACCUCAUGACUAACAGGACAUUCAAUUUAAAUAGGAGCUUUAAAUCAAAUCCCUGAGAAAUAAAACUCAUAUGCUCAUGUAACUUCCCAGAAUAUCACGUUGCAGUUCAUAUUUGGACAUCAUCUUUUAACAGUCAUGUAAUCAAGCUAAGCUUCAAAAUCCUUACAAAAUUUAAUCAUACAUAAAAUGGGAUAAUUAAUACAUAUAUUUAAGGUUAAAAUCUAGCUUGCUAAAAGGAGAUAUAGAAAACAGAGCAAAACAAAACAAAUAAUCAAAAUCUGGAAUUCAGUCCACGUAUUCACAUGACAUUUGAGAAUAAGGUAGCAAAUGAUCCAAAGCUCCAUGUAUAUGAUUCAAUGGCCAAGAAAAUGUUCAGCAUACAUACCUGUUUACAGCAAAAUCAACCAAAAUAGAAGUAAAUUUCUAAAAUAUGAACAGAUGCAGCAGCCAAAACAGAAGAAGCAAGAAUGAUUCAAAGUGAGCUUCAGCUUCUUAACCCAGAAAUCUAAAGAACAGUACUUCACCCUUCGAAUGAAACCAAAAAAGAAGAAAUUGAUGCCUUUCUUUCUAUGAAUUGUGUCUGUUCAUCAUGAGAAUUAAACUUUUUGAAGAAAGGAUUCUGCAGCUUAUCAAUAUCUCAGCCGUUCCUCUUUUUAGGUGUCCUAAAAUCCCCCCCCCCCCCCAGAAUGAGGAAAAUGAUCCUCUUAUAGAAAGACCUUAGGGCAGCAUCACCAGAUUUUCCUCCUUCCUUAAUUCUCCUUUUUACCCCUUUUUUACUUAGUUAUUUUACCCCCUAGCCCCUUAAUUACCCAUUUUUACCCCAUGCAAGCCUCCUCUUAUCCUUUAGAAGCUUCUCUCAUAACAGAAAAUAUUCUCUAGACCUAAGAUACCCAAAAUAGCCCCUGACACCCCUGUAUUUACUCCCCAAACUGACCCAAGACUCAAACCCAGACAAUGGGUUUCUUCUGCCCAAACCAGAAAUAACCAAAAGCCCAAAAGAGACCUAAACAUUAAAAUCAAAUGAAUUAAUGAAAUUAAGCUAAUAUUAAGACCUUAAGACUAGCUGGUUCAUUAACCAAACAAAAAGUCAAAUUGAUCAAGGCAAGUUGUAAUUGACCACGAACCUAAGCAUGCUAACAAUGAUUUAACAAUUAACUAGUUUAAAAAUUGAGUACAACCUGCUUGUUAAGUGUUCUAACCUAUCAUGCAAACAAAAACUAACUGAGAAGAAGAGAAAUAAAGAAAGAAAAGAACAGAGAAGAAAAAAUAAAACAAAAACAGAAACAAACAAAUGAUUAAAGGCCAAAAAGUACCGAUUUAAUCAUCAAGACGACCAAGAAAAAGCAAAAGCGGAAGACUCGCCAGGCUCAGGAUGCUUCGAAAGGGCUUGUAGCUAACUCAAACGACUAUUUUGGUCAAGAGUAAUCUAUUUAGGCAAACUUCCAGCCAAACGAGCAAAAAAUCAACAAAAAUCCCCAAACUGCAGGAACUAGGUUAAAUUUUAGAUCCGGGAUUCAGCGAGUUCAAGGGAUUAUUUGGGGAGAUUGUUGGGGAAUUUGAGUUUAGGGGGCGUGGUGAUUAUGGGAUGUGAAGUUAAGGUCGAUUGGGGUUGCUCCAUCGGCCGGUGGAGGUUGAGGGUUCUCUAGCGGCUAGGGUUUCUAUCCGGGUUAGGGUAAGGGACUAAAUGAAGGGAUUCGAAUGGGGGAGCUCUGUUUCGGAUAUUAAUAUAUGAAAUGAGAGCCAGUUCCCAGCUGUUGGAUCACACGAGAUCAAUGUUUGGGAUUCAAUG